ACACCUCACCCCCUCGGGUUUCCGAUCGGGUGGACUUGGGCGCUGCCAGUGAAAUGGCUCGCCUUAAACGCAUUAGCGGUUGUUGACGUAAUAAGUUUCGUCUUGUCGACCGCUCCUAAUCUCCUUCGGGAUGUCUCUGGACACUUCAUG
Molecule: unclassified non-coding RNA, 150 nt
Filed under: Vishniacozyma dimennae
Lineage: Eukaryota; Fungi; Basidiomycota; Tremellomycetes; Tremellales; Bulleribasidiaceae
Description: partial internal transcribed spacer 2
Source: RNAcentral